RNAcentral lists this ribosomal RNA (34 nucleotides) under Talaromyces purpureogenus. RNAcentral describes it as "partial 28S ribosomal RNA". The record is from RNAcentral. Lineage: Eukaryota; Fungi; Ascomycota; Eurotiomycetes; Eurotiales; Trichocomaceae.
UUGACCUCGGAUCAGGUAGAGUAACCCCAAUCCC